This is a long non-coding RNA of Pseudomyrmex gracilis, 860 nucleotides long. RefSeq lists it as uncharacterized. The transcript is spliced from 3 exons. NCBI's taxonomy places the organism in Eukaryota, Metazoa, Arthropoda, Insecta, Hymenoptera, Formicidae. The record is from RefSeq and is a predicted model, not a curated record.
GCGCGAUCUAGUCUACGACCGCACGUAAAGUUGCGAGGAACGUCUAAUUUUUAUAGACCUCGAAGAUAUAUAAAAGUGUUUUCAUAAACUCUCGUAAUUUAAAAUAAUUCAGAGCGGCAGAUAUAAUAGAACGCGGCAAGAUUCAAAUACGUUUGCAAUUAGUUCGUGGUAACUCAAGCCAGUGCGCUAUUUACAUCGAUCAAAAAUGCCACAAGCUGCCCACGAGACCAAGAACAUUCUGAUGACAUAUUUUAUCCUUAUUCUUCUUCUAAUUUCACUUUGGGUUUUGUACUCAGGAGUGUUUUUCUAAACAGAGCAGACAUUCCUUGCCACAUGGGUUGAAAAACAGAGCAGACACGUGUCGAAAAGAUGCAUCCAGAGGAACCAAGAUCGACAUGGACACCUUGUUCCAAGCUCACCGCUUCCCGUCAUUACUUAUAGAUGUCUAGAGACAUGUUUAAAUUGCUUUGAUCGUUUAGUAAUCAAUUUCCGCGGCAAAAAUUAUCUUGCAAUAUGUUCACAGGAUAAAUAGACAGAAUUUUUAUAAAAGUUAAUCUCCUAUUAUUUCGUUUCGAAUUUCGUCGUAAAAAAAUCGGCUAUCUGUUAAAAAUAUAACUUAUACCAUCUAUAUCACAUUGACUAAUACACACGUUCUUAUACACGUUAUUAUUCAAUAAUGGACAUUUUAAAACAAUUAAAGCAAUAUUUAUUAUCUCACGAGCAUUUUCUACAUCAUUGUCAUUCAACUGUGCUCAUUUAAAGUUGUCGAAAUAAAUGCGUCAAGUUUUUCUCGUACGUUUCUAUCGGAUGUAUUUCUAUCGAUUCUACUUCAGUGUACAUAAAUAAUUUCUUGAAACUGU